AUGGCCAGCAUGGCCACGGAUUGUAGGGGAGGAAUGUAUUGCCUAAUGAGUUGUAUGCUUUCUUUAGAUCCUCUGUGCUCCCUAUCACAUCUGGCUUGGCCACCUACAGAUUCUUGGGUCCAGGUUCCUGAUCUGAAGCGGAGGAACACGAGGUCACAUCCAUUAAGUGGCAGAAGGGGGUUGCAACAAUUUUCUUCAGUCUGA
This 204-nucleotide ribosomal RNA is filed under the name Triticum aestivum (bread wheat). Its description in RNAcentral is "partial small subunit ribosomal RNA". The record is from RNAcentral. Lineage: Eukaryota; Viridiplantae; Streptophyta; Magnoliopsida; Poales; Poaceae.